This 221-nucleotide ribosomal RNA is filed under the name uncultured bacterium. Its description in RNAcentral is "partial 16S ribosomal RNA". It matches the Rfam family "Bacterial small subunit ribosomal RNA", at positions 118 to 334 of the family's 1533-position model. The record is from RNAcentral.
UACGCAACCUUCCCCGAACAGGUGAAUAGCCCUGCGAAAGUAGGAUUAAUACACCGUAUGAUAUGGAUGUGGCAUCACGACUAUAUUAAAGGUAGCAAUACCGGUUCGGGAUGGGCGUGCGCCUGAUUAGGUAGUUGGUGUGGGUAACGGCCCACCAAGCCUUCGAUCAGUAACUGGUGUGAGAGCACGACCAGUCACACGGGCACUGAGACACGGGCCCG